RNAcentral lists this ribosomal RNA (198 nucleotides) under Triticum aestivum (bread wheat). Its description in RNAcentral is "partial small subunit ribosomal RNA". Lineage: Eukaryota; Viridiplantae; Streptophyta; Magnoliopsida; Poales; Poaceae. The record is from RNAcentral.
AUGAAGACCUACUCCGACAUACAAAAGAAGAAGCUCGAGAUCGAAGAGGCCAAUGCCAAGACAAGAGCAAGGGUGGUCGAGCUUGCGCUAAUCUCCAAGGAAGUGGAGAUCAUGACGGGCGACACGAGCAAGAUGACUCCAAAAAAGAAGGUUGAGUUUGAAGGGAAGCAAAAGUUAAUCCAAAACCGAGAUGCGUGA